UGGGGGAUAUUGCACAAUGGGCGAAAGCCUGAUGCAGCGACGCCGCGCGGGGGAUGAAGGCCUUCGGGUUGUAAACUUCUUUUGCUCUGAACAAGGCAUGCCUUUGGGGUGUGUUGAGUGUAGGGGUUGAUUAGCGCCGGCUAACUACGUGCCAGCAGCCGCGGUAAUACGUAGGGCGCGAGCGUUGUCCGGAAUUAUUGGGCGUAAAGGGCUUGUAGGUGGCUGGUUGCGUCUGUCGUGAAAGCUCAUGGCUUAACUGUGGGUUUGCGGUGGGUACGGGCUGGCUUGAGUGCAGGAGGGGAGGCUGGAAGUCCUGGUGUAGCGGUGGAAUGCGCAGAUAUCAGGAGGAAUACCGGUGGCGAAGGCGGGUCUCUGGGCUGUUACUGACGCUGAGGAGCGAAAGCGUGGGGAGCGAACAGG
RNAcentral lists this ribosomal RNA (420 nucleotides) under Fusobacteriota bacterium. RNAcentral describes it as "Fusobacteria bacterium partial 16S ribosomal RNA". It matches the Rfam family "Bacterial small subunit ribosomal RNA", at positions 355 to 776 of the family's 1533-position model. Lineage: Bacteria; Fusobacteriati; Fusobacteriota. The record is from RNAcentral.